AUGCCGCGAAAACGAAACAGAACAACAGAAAAAUUACAAUGGACAUUGGAAACAUUAAAUAUGGCAAUUAAAAGGAUACAUGAAGAUAAAAUAUCCAUCCACAAAGCUGUUACAGAGUUUCAAAUCCCCUACAGCACUUUGCAAAAACGGUACAAUCUUAUGAUUGAACAAACAGCUCCUCGUCUUGGAAAAAAACCUAUUUUUAAUAAAGAGCAAGAAGACACACUUGCUGAUCAUCUCAUUUAUAUGACAAAUAUUUUUUAUGGAUUAGAUACAACACAAUUUCGAAAAAUCGCAUUUGAAUGUGCUGAAAAGUUAAAAAUUCCUCAUAAUUUUAAUAAAGAGACUAAAUUAGCGGGACCAGAUUGGUUGGAGGGAUUUCUUAAAAGAAAUCCUAGAAUCAGGUGUUCGCAAACCAGAAUCACUGAGUAUUAAUAAAAUACAAGGAUUUAAUAAAAAAGAAAUAACCAUUUUUUCGAAAAUCUUGAGAAAGUUAUUGAUGAGCAUAAAUUUGACCCUCAUCAAAUUUUUAACGUGGACGAGACAAGAAUAUUUACUGUGCAAGAAUCAAAUAAAGUUUUAACAAAAACGAGGCAGAAACGUAUAACAACUAUCACUUCUUGGGGAAAAAGGAAAAACUAUAAUUGUAGUUUGUGUUAUGAAUGCCAUAGGCACAUUUAUACCACCACUGUUCAUUUUCCCGCGACAACGACAUUUUCCUCUUCUUGAAAAAAAUGGACCUCCAGAUGCAAUAUAUGAUUGCUCGAAAAAUGGAUGGACAAACAAAACACUGUUCUUGAAAUGGUUACAGCAUUUUAAAAAUUUCGUUAAACUAUCUGAAGAUAAUAAGGUAUUAUUGAUUAUGGAUAAUCACAACAGCUACUCUACGCUAGAAGCUUAUUAUUUUUGCAAAAAAAAAUCAUAUUACAAUGCUUUCUAUACUACCCCACUCAUCUCACCGCUUUCAGCCAUUAGAUGUCACAUUUUUUGGUCCUUUAAAAAAGGCAUAUAAUCGAGAGUGUGAUCUUUUCUUAAAAUCAAAGAACCUUGUCAAAAUUACUCCAUAUGAAGUGGUCGGACUGUUUAAGAAUGCCUACAGGAAAGUAGCUUCGGUUGACAAGAGCAUCAAUGGUUUCCACGCCACAGAUAUAAGUCCAAUAAAUCCUAAUAUAUUUAGUGACAAAGAUUUUCUCGCUACAAAUACCGCAGCCACUGAUAUGAUUACAGAUUUGCCAAACGAACAAGAAAAUCUUCAGACUCCGUCGAGCACCAGUACUUCGAUUCAGAGCACUGCAAGUCAACAAUAUCUAGCAACAGAAUCUUUGCGAGACACAGACAUACAUAACGAGACACCUGCUAUUAACGACUCUGCUGACUUGUCUUCGAUAUUAACAGUAAUUUCUCCAAGCCCAUCAACUUCACGUAAUAGCAGACAAAGCAAAAAUAAAUUACAUUUUGAAAUAAUUACCGAUUUUCCCAACAAGACUGUUUUGGAAGAGGAGAACAGGAAACGAUUAAAAAAAGAAAAUAAAGCGCCGAAAGAGACAGAAAAAAUUUUAAAUGGAAAAUAAAAAGAAAUCGAGUAAAAAAGUGAAAAACGUACGUAGGAAUGAAUCCAAUUCUUCAGAUAAAAAAAAUAUUUGCAUUAUUUGUACUGAAAUAGCAAAAAAUCAAAUGAAUUGUGAUACCGAUGCAGAUCCUGUGGCAAUUGGACUCACGCUGAAUACUCCGGAUGCAAUUCACCUACAGAAUAUGUAUGCGAUUUUUGUUGUCAACAUUAAAAUGACCGAUUUUUUUUAAAGUUUGCACGUUACGUUAUAAAAGUAUAUUGUUUUGUGUCCCAAAAUGACGAAUUUUUUUUUCUUUUACAUUUUUCUAUAAUAAUUACAGAUCCUGUUUAUAAAAGUAUGUGUAUUGAUUUUAAAUUUUACAUUGUUCUGUGAUAAUCAAAGUUUCUGUUCAUAAAAAUAUAUUGUUUUGUACCAUAAUAUGGCAAAAAAUAUAUUGUUGUAUUUUAGAUUUAUUUAGUAAUGGUUCUAAUUACCCCAUGUACCGACUCUUAUUACCUCGUAUUCUGGGUAAUGGGAGUUAAAGCUCUUUUUUUUCAAUUAAAAAAACAUAUAUAGAAUAACUUUUAACAAUUCUUCUAAAUUCUAUCAAAAAGUUCGAUUAUUACAGUUUAAGGAUCCCUUAUGUUCAAAUACAUAUUAUAAUAAUUACAAUGUUUUUUUUGGCUUUAUCCUUAAGUGGCUCUCAUUUGACCCUUUUCCCCUAUGUAGCGGUCCUCUUCCACAUUGUCCUCUCAUAGCGAAGAAAGUUAAUUAUUUCUUGCCUUAAUCGGGCUGCGGGUGGUCUUUAUAUAGCACGUCGGCUGCAUCUUACUCUCGAAAGAGUUAAAUCAUCUACUGACUUAUCGGCGGCGCUGCGCACUAACUAAGCGAGCGCGCGGCGGCACAAUAAAAUAACUCUUCAAUUACGAGUGAAAUAUUCACUCCAAGAAAACAUUCUCUCCAAAA
Molecule: RNA transcript, 2516 nt
Organism: Monomorium pharaonis (pharaoh ant)
Lineage: Eukaryota; Metazoa; Arthropoda; Insecta; Hymenoptera; Formicidae
Exons: 1
Source: RefSeq, a predicted model, not a curated record